CCUACGGGUGGCAGCAGUGGGGAAUAUUGCACAAUGGGGGAAACCCUGAUGCAGCGACGCCGCGUGAGUGAAGAAGUAUUUCGGUACGUAAAGCACUAUCAGCAGGGAAGAAAAUGACGGUACAUGACUAAGAAGCCCCGGCUAACUACGUGCCAACAGCCGCGGUAAAACGUAGGGGGAGAACGUUAGCCGGAUUUACUGGGUGUAAAGGGAGAGUAGACGGCAGCGCAAGUCUGGAGUGAAAUCCCAUGGCUUAACCAGGGAACUGCGUUGGAAACUGGGCAGCUUGAGUGCAGGAGAGGUAAGUGGAAUUCCUAGGGUAGCGGUGAAAUGCGUAGAGAUUAGGAGGAACACCAGUGGCGAAGGCGGCUUACUGGACUGUAACUGACGUUGAGGCUCGAAAGCGUGGGGAGCAAACAGGAUUAGAUACCCGUGUAGUC
This 440-nucleotide ribosomal RNA is filed under the name uncultured bacterium. RNAcentral's name for it is "partial 16S ribosomal RNA". It matches the Rfam family "Bacterial small subunit ribosomal RNA", at positions 338 to 795 of the family's 1533-position model. The record is from RNAcentral.